This 403-nucleotide ribosomal RNA is filed under the name uncultured bacterium. RNAcentral describes it as "bacterial SSU rRNA". It matches the Rfam family "Bacterial small subunit ribosomal RNA", at positions 355 to 775 of the family's 1533-position model. The record is from RNAcentral.
CAGGGAAUAUUAGUAAUGGGCGAAAGCCUGAACUAGCAACGCCGCGUGUGCGAAGAAGGCCUUCGGGUUGUAAAGCACUUUUUGAGAGGAUGAGGAAGGACGGUACUCUCAGAAUAAGUCUCGGCUAACUACGUGCCAGCAGCCGCGGUAACACGUAGGAGGCAAACGUUAUCCGGAUUUACUGGGCGUAAAGCGCGUGUAGGUGGUUUGGUAAGUAGGGCGUGAAAGCUCCUGGCUCAACUGGGAGAGGACGUUCUAAACUGCCAAGCUUAAGGAUGGUAGAGGGAGGUGGAAUUCCGGGUGUAGCGGUGGAAUGCGCAGAUAUCCGGAGGAACACCAGUGGCGAAAGCGGCCUCCUGGACCAUUCCUGACACUCAGACGCGAAAGCUAGGGUAGCAAACGG